AUCCAUGGCCAAUGCAACCGUGGUAGCUUCGUGACGUGGGGUUCUCAAUCGUUACGCUGCCCUCUUAUUUAUUCGACCUAAAAAGAGGGGGUUUCAGGGUUUUCAGAAAUUUUCUAUCUGGAUCCAUCGUGGACUCGCUUCUUGCGAGCUUACUUUCGCGGUAUUUCUAUUUCUACCUCUGUUCAAGAUUCAGUUUUCAAAUAUCGUUUAUCCAUCAUUGAUGUGUGUUCACUUUGUUAUAUUUGAUUCACUUCUCUUAUAAACUCGACCGCUCGUAAUUGCAAUUUCUCAAGAUUUACAGAAGUCAUCAGUGUCUUGUGUAACUUUUUGCUUAUUUGAGUUUUGAUCUGUAAAUUCAAUUUGGAAGAAGCAAUGGAUGAGGGGAAACAUAAGUCUAGGACAGAGGAUUCGGAAAGGAGUCGAGAUAGAGAAAGAGAUAAGGCGAGGAACGGGGAGAGACCUAGGAACAAGAAGAAAGGCGAUAGUCGGAGAUCCGAGAAAGAGAGUAGUGAUUCUGAUGAUAAAUAUGAUAGGGAGAGGGAGAAGCAUAGAACGCGGACACGGGAUGAUGAGAGGGAAAGAGCCAGAGAGAAGAAGAGGGAAAGAGAGAGGGAGAGGGAGAAAGAGAAGAGGGAGAGGGCGAAGGAGAAAGAAAGAGAAAGGGAAAGGGAGCGAGAGAAGAGGGAACGUGAGAGAGAGGGGAGGGAGAGGGAGAGGGAGAGGGAGAAGGAUAGAGAAAGAAGGGAGCGUGAAAGAGAGAAGGAGAAGGAAAGAGAGGAAAGGAGAAUGCAAGAUAGGGAGAAGCGACGGGCAGCUGAUAGCGAUGAUGGCAAUGAUGACGAUGAGGUUAGGGAGCAUGAUAGGAAGCGGCGUAGGAGAGAUGACGAUGAUCACAGGGAGAGAGAUCGUGAAUGGAGCAGCAAUAGGCCUCGCAAGCACAGGGAUGACAAUGAAGAGAGCCCAAGAAGAAACAGUGGCGGUGAUCGCUCAGAUAUGAUGGAGAAAAAGCUGACUCGGGAAGAGGAGUUGGAGGAUGAGCAGCGGAGAUUAGAUGACGAAAUUGAGAAGCGGCGGAGGAGAGUGCAGGAGUGGCAAGAGUUGAGGAGAGCAAAGGAAGAAGCUGAGAGAGAAAAAGGAGGGGAAGCAAAUGCUGAUGAACCUAUGUCUAGCAAGACCUGGACUCUUGAAGGGGAAUCUGACGAUGAAGAAGUACCGGGAGAAUUGGAGACUGACAUGGACGUGGAUGAAGAUGCCAGACCCACAAACGAGCAAGCUGAAGCAUCAGUGCUGGUCGAUUUGGGCAAUGAAACCGAUGCACCCACUUUGCUGAAUGGGGGGGAUGUUGAUGCUGAGGAUGAUGAAAUUGAUCCAUUGGAUGCCUUCAUGAAUUCUAUGGUGAUGCCUGAAGUUGAGAAGCUAAAAAGUGAUCUGGCUCCCUCAACUAUUGAUGAUAAGAAUGUGGACUUGAAGAACAAAGAUAAGAAGCACGAAGGAAGCAACAGUCAACCGCCACGGAAGGGUAAAAAAUAUUCUAUGGGGAGAAUAAUGCAGGGCGAGGAUUCGGAGUCAGAUUAUGAUAACCCUGAGAAUGACGAGGAACGGUUAGAUGAGGAAGAUGACGACGAGUUCAUGAAAAGGGUGAAGAAGACAAAAGUGGAGAAGCUUUCUUUAGUUGACCACUCCAAGAUAGAAUAUAAACCGUUUCGGAAAAAUUUUUACAUUGAAGCAAAAGAGAUCUCAAAGAUGACUUUUGAAGAGGUUGCUGCCUACCGGAAGCAAUUGGAGUUGAAGUUACAUGGUAAGGAUGUGCCGAAGCCGGUCAAAACCUGGUACCAAACUGGACUUACAAGUAAAAUCUUGGAGACAAUAAAGAAGCUUAACUAUGAAAAGCCAAUGACAAUUCAAGCUCAGGCACUGCCUAUAAUUAUGAGUGGUCGAGACUGCAUCGGCGUUGCCAAAACUGGCUCAGGCAAAACUGUUGCGUUUGUGCUGCCAAUGUUGAGGCAUAUAAAGGACCAGCCACCCGUUGAAGCUGGGGAUGGACCUAUUGGACUAAUAAUGGCACCUACAAGGGAGCUUGUACAGCAGAUCCACAGUGACAUAAAGAAGUUUGCAAAGGUACUUGGUAUCAGGUGUGUGCCUGUGUAUGGAGGUUCUGGUGUUGCCCAACAAAUUAGUGAUUUGAAGCGGGGCACUGAGAUUGUUGUCUGUACUCCAGGCAGGAUGAUUGACAUACUUUGCACCAGUGCCGGGAAAAUUACAAAUCUGCGUAGGGUCACUUAUUUGGUCAUGGAUGAAGCUGAUCGAAUGUUUGACAUGGGUUUUGAACCUCAAAUUACUCGAAUUGUGCAAAAUAUUCGUCCAGAUCGCCAAACAGUACUCUUCUCUGCCACUUUCCCGCGCCAAGUUGAAGUUUUGGCACGUAAAGUGUUAAGUAAGCCCGUAGAGAUACAAGUUGGUGGUAGAAGUGUUGUGAACAAGGACAUAACACAGUUGGUUGAGGUGAGGCCAGAAAAUGAAAGGUUCUUUAGACUGUUGGAAAUACUUGGUGAAUGGUAUGAGAAAGGAAAAAUUUUGAUAUUUGUCCACUCACAGGAGAAGUGUGAUGCUUUGUUCAGGGAUCUCCUCAAGCAUGGUUAUCCUUGCCUCUCAUUACAUGGGGCUAAGGAUCAGACAGAUCGUGAGUCAACCAUUUUUGAUUUUAAAAGCAAUGUCUGCAAUUUGCUGAUUGCAACAAGUAUUGCUGCCAGGGGGUUAGACGUGAAGGAGCUUGAAUUGGUGAUCAACUUUGACGUUACAAACCACUAUGAAGACUAUGUCCACCGUGUUGGUCGUACAGGCCGAGCUGGUCGAAAAGGCUCUGCCAUUACAUUUAUCUCAGAGGAAGAUGCAAGAUAUGCCCCAGAUCUUGUAAAGGCAUUGGAACUCUCUGAGCAAGUUGUUCCUGAUGACCUGAAAGCUCUUGCUGAUAGUUUUAUGGCAAAAGUGAAUCAGGGACUUGAGCAAGCCCAUGGGACUGGUUAUGGUGGAAGUGGUUUUAAAUUUAAUGAAGAGGAAGAUGAAAUGAGAAGAGCAGCAAAGAAAGCACAGGCCAAAGAAUAUGGUUUCGAGGAGGAUAAGUCAGAUUCCGAAGAUGAAGAUGAAGGUAUAAGGAAGGCAGGUGGUGACAUAUCACAGCAGGCUGCCUUAGCUCAGAUAAUUGCUGCUGCCUCCAAAGUCAGUACACCCAUGACAAUGCCAGGCUCAGCUGCUCAACUGCUGCCCAAUGGUGGACUUCCUAUUACGCUGCCAGGUGUUGGUCUAACAAUACCUGGAACAGCAGCAGUUGUGACUGGGACUGGCCUGCCUGCUAUUGCCAAUGACACGGCUGGGGCAGCUCGAGCAGCUGCCAUUGCAGCUGCUCUUAACUUGCAGCAAAAUUUGGCAAAGAUUCAAGCUGAUGCAAUGUCUGAGCACUAUGAGGCAGAGCUGGAGAUAAAUGAUUUUCCCCAGAAUGCUCGAUGGAAGGUUACCCACAAGGAAACUUUGGGGCCAAUUUCAGACUGGACUGGAGCUGCUAUUACCACCAGGGGGCAGUAUUUCCCAACAGGUAGGGUGCCAGGACCUGGAGAACGCAAGCUUUACUUGUUCAUUGAGGGUCCUACCGAACAGUCUGUAAAGAGAGCUAAAUCAGAAUUAAAGCGCGUUUUGGAGGACAUCACGAACCAGGCAUUACAACUGCCUGGUGGAGCCCAACCAGGCAGAUACCAAGUUUUAUAAGUGUAAGAACUUGAUUCCAUUUCAUAUAGCCAUCGUAGGCAUACGUCCUUUUUUUUAUAGGUCUUGUAGGCAUUUCUUUACCAGCUUCUGUAGGAUUUUGGAUGAGUUCUUACGUCUAGUUAUUAUUCUUUCACCAGUUAAUAUGUUGAAUGAGUUUUUCUGAACAAAUUGGUUUGGAGUUGGCUUUUAUUACACUGUUGAUCAGUUUUGGAAGUAGCACAAGAUGCUUACGUGUACCUUUGUUGAAGUAUGUGGAUCAAGCUUAGGAUACAAUUAGGAAACAUUUUUGUUCUGUUCAUGAUAAUGCAAGCUUUUUGGUUUCUAGAAACAUCUCUCUCCCCAAAAAAUGUUCAUCUUGAGAUCUUACCAUUAAUCAUCUAUGAGAGAGACGGAGAGUAGGUGCUAUAUGACUUGGGAAUGUGCCCAAGUCAUCAAGCACUUGAGAGUUACCUGUAGUGACAGGAUUAACACUGAAUGAAAUCUGCUAUUAUGCUUUUUUUCCUCUUUUUCACUCCAAGUAGAACUUGUGGAUUUUGAGUCAAAAGCAUAUAAUUUUCUCCCACUUUCCCUACCUCACCAUAGUCGCAUCUUGUAUUGAUUUGCUGCAAAAUAUUAUGACUUUGUUUUUCGAUUUCCAAAUUUUUUUUCAACCCUUUUAAUUUUUUCUUUUCUCAUGGCGCGAGGGAUGUUUUAAGCCUAUGCUCGCAUGUCCAAAUAUUGUCUCUGCUCAUUGCCUUUGCUAUCGUGGCUGUGAAAGCAAUGGAGGUUAUGGUGCGGCACUUGUUUCUCAUGUUCCUGCUGGUUCACAGUUGGGAUCCUGGAGCCGACUGUUGCUGUAUUUGCAAACUUUGUUAUGAUUACAUAUCUACAAGAGUAUUAAACCUAAUUAGGAUUCCUGCUAGUAAGAGGAUCUUCACUUGUUGGUUUUUAUGGGGUUCCAUAUUAUAAGCGAUCUUAAGAUUCAACUGGCUUGGCUGACCUAAUUACUAAUUAGACGGAUGUCUAUAUCAUACAUACUUAUGACAAGUUGUUUGAUAUCUUUACAGUAAUCAUCACCUCAUGCCCAGAUCAGUGUCUUCAAUGUAUUUGUGAACUUCCAGGAUAUAACAAAUGACCCCUAUUGUUGAGGAUGCAUUUUUGGUUUGGUUCUUUUUUCCUUCCUGGAUAUUCUUAUAUGAUUGAUAAUGGGAAUUCUUCUAGUUAAGAUCAAUAUUGUUGUAAUAGCGUUAAUGGUUUCUGUUUCUUUCUGUUUAGGAAAAUGUCUGUCAUGUAUGGUAGUGUAAAUUAAAUUUUUGCUAAUGCUUUGUUUCUCUGUUUCAGCCGGAGCCAUCAACAAAAUGAUUCCUAAUUAAUGGCUAUAUUAAUUUUUGUGCAUUGAAGUACUUUUGAUUUAAGCACACUUGAAAUUCGUUCGGCCACAGGUACCAAGUAUUUUUUUCCAGGGACAGGACUGUCAGUCAAUCUGGAUCUGGAAAACUACCCUUUCCAUAUCAGAAGCUAUGCAAAGGAGAUCCCGGAAGAAGUAGAUCAGGCGGUGUAUGGAUGGCUUAUUGACACUAUAUAUUGAAUGCUUUUUGCAUAGGAUUUUAGUAGGCAGGUUAUUUGUAUUCGGAAGUGGAACCUUUAUGCGGGGAAUUAAGGAAUUCCUUCGCUUCGUUUCACUUCACUUGGUGCUGGACUUCUAUAAUCAAUAGACCAAUCAGCAACUUGUAUCAGGAGGCUGAACAUGAUUACUGAUUAGAAUUUGACUUUGUUUCAUGCGAAAAGAAUUAAAAAUAAAAAAGAUUUGAAUUUGUUUGUUUGGAGCAAA
RNA transcript from Carya illinoinensis, 5569 nucleotides. It is a transcript of the gene named DEAD-box ATP-dependent RNA helicase 42-like, with no coding region annotated. NCBI's taxonomy places the organism in Eukaryota, Viridiplantae, Streptophyta, Magnoliopsida, Fagales, Juglandaceae. The transcript is spliced from 2 exons. The record is from RefSeq and is a predicted model, not a curated record.